This is a non-coding RNA of Ornithorhynchus anatinus (platypus), 108 nucleotides long. The record is from Rfam. NCBI's taxonomy places the organism in Eukaryota, Metazoa, Chordata, Mammalia, Monotremata, Ornithorhynchidae.
GUUUAAUAAAUACCAUUUUAAAUAUAUACUAAAAUUGGAAGGAUACAGAGAUUAGCAUGGCCCAUGCGCAAGGAUGACACGCAAAUCUGUGAAGCAUUCUGUAUAUAU